GGGAAAGUAGAGUGGCGCACGGGUGAGUAACACGUAGGUAAUCUACCUUUGGAUUGGGAAUAACAACCGGAAACGGUUGCUAAUACCGAAUAAUGCAGCGGCACCUAAUGGUGACAGUUGUUAAAGCGGGGGAUCGCAAGACCUCGCGUCUAAAGAGGAGCCUGCGGCGGAUUAGCUAGUUGGUAAGGUAACGGCUUACCAAGGCGAUGAUCCGUAGCCGGCCUGAGAGGGCGGUCGGCCACACUGACACUGACAUACGGGUCAGACUCCUACGGGAGGCAGCAGUCGGGAAUUUUGGGCAAUGGGCGAAAGCCUGACCCAGCAACGCCGCGUGAAGGAUGAAAUCCCUCGGGAUGUAAACUCCGCAAGAACGGGAAGAAUAAGUAAGGGCUAACACCUCUUACGAUGACGGUACUGUUUGUAAGCUCCGGCUAACUCCGUGCCAGCAGCCGCGGUAAUACGGGGGGAGCAAGCGUUGUUCGGAUUUACUGGGCGUAAAGGGCGCGUAGGCGGCCACCGCAAGUCGGUUGUGAAAUCUCUGGGCUUAACCCAGAAAGGUCAACCGAUACUGCGGGGCUAGAGUGCAGAAGGGGCAACUGGAAUUCUCGGUGUAGCGGUGAAAUGCGUAGAUAUCGAGAGGAACACCUGCGGCGAAGGCGGGUUGCUGGGCUGACACUGACGCUGAUGUGCGAAAGCUAGGGGAGCGAACGGGAUUAGAUACCCCGGUAGUCCUAGCC
This 737-nucleotide ribosomal RNA is filed under the name uncultured bacterium. RNAcentral's name for it is "bacterial SSU rRNA". It matches the Rfam family "Bacterial small subunit ribosomal RNA", at positions 84 to 801 of the family's 1533-position model. The record is from RNAcentral.